This 465-nucleotide ribosomal RNA is filed under the name uncultured bacterium. RNAcentral's name for it is "partial 16S ribosomal RNA". It matches the Rfam family "Bacterial small subunit ribosomal RNA", at positions 338 to 795 of the family's 1533-position model. The record is from RNAcentral.
CCUACGGGCGGUAGCAGUAGGGAAUCUUCCACAAUGGGCGAAAGCCUGAUGGAGCAACGCCGCGUGGGUGAAGAAGGUCUUCGGAUCGUAAAACCCUGUUGUUCGAGAAGAAAGUGCGUGAGAGUAACUGUUCACGUUUCGACGGUAUCUAACCAGAAAGCCACGGCUAACUACGUGUCAGCAGCCGCGGUAAUACGUAGGUGGCAAGCGUUAUCCGGAUUUAUUGGGCGUAAAGGGAACGCAGGCGGUCUUUUAAGUCUGAUGUGAAAGCCUUCGGCUUAACCGGAGUAGUGCAUUGGAAACUGGGAGACUUGAGUGCAGAAGAGGAGAGUGGAACUCCAUGUGGAGCGGUGAAAGGCGUAGAUAUAUGGAAGAACACCAGUGGCGAAAGCGGCUCUCUGGUCUGUAACUGACGCUGAGGUUCGAAAGCGUGGGUAGCAAACAGGAUUAGAUACCCCUGUAGUC